Long non-coding RNA from Phodopus roborovskii (desert hamster), 311 nucleotides. RefSeq lists it as uncharacterized. The record is from RefSeq and is a predicted model, not a curated record. The transcript has 2 exons. NCBI's taxonomy places the organism in Eukaryota, Metazoa, Chordata, Mammalia, Rodentia, Cricetidae.
AAGGCAGGAAGGAGGUCUGUAGCACACACCAUCUGUGUGAGCACCCUGCCUUUCCCCCAGGUUCUUCAGGGUGGAACUGCAUCUGUCUUCGGCCUCUUGGACCCAGAUGCUGUCAAGACCAUGUGCACAAACCACCAUGAGUUCUAAAUUAUGGACUACAGCACAGUGAGUGCAGAUGCAAAGGAAUGUAACUUGGAAAAAACACAAAAACAAACAAAAAAACAAACAAACAAAAGAAAAAAUAAACCAGAAAAUGCAAUAAGACACACAGAGAGCAACAAAGAAAAAAAAGAAAUAUAAUUUUGAACUGC